UUAAACUGAAGAGUUUGAUCAUGGCUCAGAUUGAACGCUGGCGGCAGGCUUAACACAUGCAAGUCGAGCGGGGAAGGUUGCUUCGGUAACUGACCUAGCGGCGGACGGGUGAGUAAUGCUUAGGAAUCUGCCUAUUAGUGG
This 141-nucleotide ribosomal RNA is filed under the name Acinetobacter sp. SM1B. Its description in RNAcentral is "partial 16S ribosomal RNA". It matches the Rfam family "Bacterial small subunit ribosomal RNA", at positions 1 to 139 of the family's 1533-position model. The record is from RNAcentral. Lineage: Bacteria; Pseudomonadati; Pseudomonadota; Gammaproteobacteria; Moraxellales; Moraxellaceae.